RNAcentral lists this ribosomal RNA (467 nucleotides) under uncultured bacterium. RNAcentral describes it as "partial 16S ribosomal RNA". It matches the Rfam family "Bacterial small subunit ribosomal RNA", at positions 28 to 507 of the family's 1533-position model. The record is from RNAcentral.
GACGAACGCUGGCGGCGUGCUUAACACAUGCAAGUCGAACGGAAAGGCUCCAGCUUGCUGGAGUACUCGAGUGGCGAACGGGUGAGUAACACGUGGGUAAUCUGCCCUGCACUCUGGGAUAAGCCUGGGAAACUGGGUCUAAUACUGGAUAUGACCUUUCUCCUUAUGGGGUUUGGUGGAAAGUUUUUCGGUGUAGGAUGAGCCCGCGGCCUAUCAGCUUGUUGGUGGGGUGAUGGCCUACCAAGGCGACGACGGGUAGCCGGCCUGAGAGGGUGAUCGGCCACAUUGGGACUGAGAUACGGCCCAGACUCCUACGGGAGGCAGCAGUGGGGAAUAUUGCACGAUGGGCGGAAGCCUGAUGCAGCGACGCCGCGUGAGGGAUGACGGCCUUCGGGUUGUAAACCUCUUUCAGCAGGGACGAAGCGUAAGUGACGGUACCUGCAGAAGAAGCACCGGCUAACUACGUG